UACGUAGGGUGCGAGCGUUAAUCGGAAUUACUGGGCUUAAAGCGUGCGUAGGCGGUUCGCUGUGUCCGAUGUGAAAGCCCCGGGCUUAACCUGAGAAUGGCAUUGGAAACUGGCGGGCUUGAGUGCGGCAGAGGGGGGUGGAAUUCCGCGUGUAGCAGUGAAAUGCGUAGAGAUGCGGAGGAACACCGAUGGCGAAGGCAGCCCCCUGGGUCGACACUGACGCUCAGGCACGAAAGCGUGGGGAGCAAACAGG
Molecule: ribosomal RNA, 253 nt
Filed under: uncultured bacterium
Lineage: Bacteria
Description: partial 16S ribosomal RNA
Rfam family: Bacterial small subunit ribosomal RNA
Source: RNAcentral